Molecule: ribosomal RNA, 407 nt
Filed under: uncultured bacterium
Lineage: Bacteria
Description: partial 16S ribosomal RNA
Rfam family: Bacterial small subunit ribosomal RNA
Source: RNAcentral
AUUGAACGCUGGCGGCAGGCCUUACACAUGCAAGUCGAGCGGAGCGGCGGACGGGUGAGUAAUACAUAGGAAUCUGCCCGGUAGUGGGGGAUAACGUCCGGAAACGGGAGCUAAUACCGCAUACUAUCAGAUGAGCCUAUGUCUGAUUAGCUAGUUGGUGGGGUAAAGGCCUACCAAGGCGACGAUCCGUACCUGGUCUGAGAGGAUGAUCAGCCACACUGGAACUGAGACACGGCCCAGACUCCUACGGGAGGCAGCAGUGGGGAAUAUUGGACAAUGGGCGAAAGCCUGAUCCAGCCAUGCCGCGUGUGUGAAGAAGGUCUUCGGAUUGUAAAGCACUUUAGGUUGGGAAGCGGUACCGACAGAAUAAGGACCGGCUAACUACGUGCCAGCAGCCGCGGUAAUAC